This 1523-nucleotide ribosomal RNA is filed under the name uncultured fungus. RNAcentral describes it as "eukaryotic LSU rRNA". The stretch from base 641 to 1523 matches the Rfam family "Eukaryotic large subunit ribosomal RNA", at positions 1 to 667 of the family's 3401-position model. The record is from RNAcentral. Lineage: Eukaryota; Fungi.
CUUGGUCAUUUAGAGGAAGUAAAAGUCGUAACAAGGUAUUCGUAGGUGAACCUGCGUAUGGAUCAUUAUCGUUUAUCCUUAAAUACAACUUCGCACAAUCAUCUACCUAUGAUUGUGUCGCACCAUUAUGAAAAUAACAAGUUAUUUUUGAUAACUUGUUUUAAACCUUUCCAUUCAACAAAAUCAUUGUUGUUUUGUCUUUGAAUAUUAUUAUAUACAAAAAAAAACAAAAUAAUAUAAUUCUGUACGGUGGAUCACUCGGCUCGUUAUUCGAUGAAGAGCGCAGCAAAGUGCGAGAAAGCAAUGCGAAUUGCAGGACACAUUGAGCAUGAAUAACUCGAACGCAUCUAGCAGCCAAGACUUUAGUCGAGGCUAAAUUUGCUUCAGUCUUGUUUAUAUAACAUCAAAUUCAUUUAAUAAUUAAAUGAAUUGCUGGCAAGUUCAAUUAUAUUUAGCUUGCAAUACAUAUCUAAACAUACAUCAUUCUCUGAUGUAUACGUAUAAAACGAAGUUAUACACAAUACACAAUAUUUGUGUAAAUUGUCAUAACAUGAGAAAUCUUUAUCAUAUCCAUGUUAUUGACUCAUACAAAUAAAACAUGUGUGUGUAUAAAUGAAAUUAUCUACUUCUUCUCAACUUUCAAGCUGAAGUCAAAUUAGAAUACUUGCUGAACUUAAGCAUAUUAAUAAGCAAAGGAAAAGAAAUCAACUGAGAUUGCUUAGUAAUGGCGAAUGAACCGGCAAAAGCUCAUUGCUGAAGCGUGUUAAAUUCACUUUUGACAUGCAUUGUAGCAUUUGGGGUGACUAUUGUAUGGUGCCUGUUCGUGUGAGUUCCUUUGAUCAGGGCUUUAACCAUAGAAGGUGCUAGUCCUAUAAUCACGAAUAGUUUUGUGCUAUACAUUGUACACCUUUCGAGUAGCGUAGUUUGAGAUUGCUACGCCAACGUGGGACGUAAACUUGUUCCAAAGCUAAAUAUGAUAACGAGACCGAUAGCGAACAAGUACCGUGAGGGAAAGUUGAAAAGCACUCUGAAGAGAGAGUUAAAUAGUACGUAAAACCGUACAGAAGAAAACGAAUGGCCGCAUUCAUCAGAUUAUUUUGAAUUCAAUUCGAUCUCUAUAUCAUGGUAAUACGUAUUAAUUUGGAACUUCAACAGUCCAUUGAUAUGUUCUAUUGCCUAGAGUCGGAUGCAUUUUCAAAAUAUUAACUGAACCUGGAUCUAUAACAUUGAAAGCUAGUUGAAUCAGUCUAUUUUGGUAGCGAGUUUAACUCGUGUUAAAAAUAUGACUUGCAUAAAUAACAAAUUCAACUUGGCGUUAUAGGUAAAAAGACAAGUUUUUUGAUUUCAGUACUUUCGAGUACGGCAUGUCAUGAGCAUUGUUUGUGUCACAUGAGUAACUAAUAUCUAAAAAAUGUUAGUUUUAUUCAUUGUCGAUGCUUAAUGUUUUAUGACUGUCAAUGAAAUCGGCAAGUCAACAGGAGUUUUGAAUGCCGAGUCAUUCGACCCGUCUUGAAACACGGACC